AUUGAACGCUGGCGGCAGGCCUAACACAUGCAAGUCGAGCGGAUGAAGGGAGCUUGCUCCUGGAUUCAGCGGCGGACGGGUGAGUAAUGCCUAGGAAUCUGCCUGGUAGUGGGGGAUAACGUCCGGAAACGGGCGCUAAUACCGCAUAGGUCCUGAGGGAGAAAGUGGGGGAUCUUCGGACCUCACGCUAUCAGAUGAGCCUAGGUCGGAUUAGCUAGUUGGUGGGGUAAAGGCCUACCAAGGCGACGAUCCGUAACUGGUCUGAGAGGAUGAUCAGUCACGGGGGAAGAGAGACGGGGUCGAGGCUGCUGGGAGGGGGAGGAGGGGGAUAUUGGACACAGGGGGCAAACGCGUGACAGAGAGGGGGCGCGUGUGAAGAAGGUCUUCGGAUUGUAAAGCACUUUAAGUUGGGAGGAAGGGCAGUAAGUUAAUACCUUGCUGUUUUGACGUUACCAACAGAAUAAGCACCGGCUAACUUCGUG
RNAcentral lists this ribosomal RNA (482 nucleotides) under uncultured bacterium. RNAcentral's name for it is "partial 16S ribosomal RNA". It matches the Rfam family "Bacterial small subunit ribosomal RNA", at positions 29 to 507 of the family's 1533-position model. The record is from RNAcentral.